CUCAAUACCAGAACAAAGCAAAAAUCUCGAUUUUUAAAAAUCAAAUGAAUCUUUAACACCCUCUAGAGUCGAAGUCCGCGCCCCCACUGAAAUCUAAUUGGCAUAACCUAAUCAGUUUAAUGUAGCGAUAUCCUGUUUUUUGCAUUGGAUGAGUCUCAAUCCGCCGCAUCCUCCGAUGUCAUACUUCCACAUCUGCAGUAAAAGUUCUGCCCACUCUGACUCUGGUUCCUGUCUCCAGUCCCAUGUCUCCUCAUCCUGCUACUCUGCCCUGGAUUUCCCACUCUACUUCUCCCUUGGAUACCCCUUCGGACCUGCCUACCCUGUCCCAACCCCUCUCGCUCCAGCCUCAGCCUCCGCACCUGGUUUUCUGCAACUCGCCCGAGCUUCCCCCGGCCUGCACUCCAUCUUCCCCCUGUGUUUCAAUAAAUACCUUGGUUACUUC
Molecule: long non-coding RNA, 442 nt
Organism: Oncorhynchus tshawytscha (Chinook salmon)
Lineage: Eukaryota; Metazoa; Chordata; Actinopteri; Salmoniformes; Salmonidae
Source: Ensembl